Molecule: long non-coding RNA, 6047 nt
Organism: Homo sapiens (human)
Lineage: Eukaryota; Metazoa; Chordata; Mammalia; Primates; Hominidae
Exons: 6
Source: RefSeq, a predicted model, not a curated record
CGUGCAAGUAAUUGAGAGCUCAUCAUAGUAAAAUUUUUAGUUUUUCUUACUAUAAUUCUAUUUAAUUUAGAGUAUUCCUCCCUUUUCUCUAUUUUUAUUCCUUCUCCAAUCAGUUUUUUCAAUCUGUACUUUCUUGUCUUAUGCGCUUUUAAAUACAUACCCUACUUUUUUUCCCUGAUGCUGAUGAAACCAUUAUUGCAAUUAGCUAAGAUACCAUCAGUAGUGUGUUGCUUUCACCCUCCUUCCAGAAUAGGCAGUUAUAAACUAGGUUCUUCAGAGUGAGAAUUCUUGACCAAGGAAAAUGUUUUAAAGAUUGACUUUUUAUAUAUUAACCUCUUCUCUUUCAAAACCUCUACCUUGUAGUAGGUUAUGGAAAACUCCUUCAUCUCAUGGGGGAUGUAAAUUUUGCUUAAGUUUGUGAAUGUCUCCUAGUCCUCAUGCCAUUUCUCCAUCAGACUAAUGGCAUUCCUUCAGGUAUCAUCUAAAUGCCAUUUUUUUUUUCAGGGAAGGUGCCUGUAAGUCCCAAGACAAGGAUAAAUCUUCUGUUGUGAAACUACACUAUAAUUCAUCUCUUAUAUCUGUCUUGGUCUGAUUGUAAGCUUCAGAAGAGCAGAAACAACCAGUGUUCUGUCUACUUCCACAUCUCCUGACACCAAUCAUGUAGUAGACACUGAUUAAAGACUUACUGAGUGGAAAUUGAAUCUGACCUAGUUAAAGACCAACCAAGCUGCAACCAGGCUGGUUUGGAAGCUCAAGAGCUUUAUCAGUCAUGGUAGGCUACACCACACUGUCAGGCUUUUUAACAGAGACAUUUUUUUUUGUUUUUUUUAACAAAAAGACAUGGUUUGGUCAGUAGCAGGAUUAAAUGUAGAAUUUUGCAUUUAGCUGCAAAUACAGUGGAAUUGCAAGUUUAUUGCAAUUUACAAAAUUCCAAAAGAUAUGGCAAAUAUUUUUGCCUAUUGCAUUUUUGUAAGUAUUUAUUUUGGGAAGAGGCUGAAAAUUUAACCUUCUUUUCAUGGUCUCUUUCUUGUCUUAUUUAUGUCUAAAAGAAACUGAUAUGAAAUGAACUGGAAACUUUAGGAUUCUCUUUGUUCUUUUUAAACUCUUAUUAAAACAAUAUGGAGAGAACACUGAAAUUGGUCUCAUAAGCUCCAGAUUCCAGUUCCCAAUCAACCAUGUUUUCUCUUCUAUAAAACACAGACAAUAAUAAUGCCAAUUGCAUAGAAUUGUUGUGAAGAUUAACUGAGAUGAUUCAUAUAAGACAUUGAGUGCAGGGCCUAGCAAAUAGUAAGUGCUCAUUAAAUGAUGAUGAUGGUGAUGAUAAUGGUGAUGGAUGCUAAAUUACUUAAUAUAUCUGAAUACUUCCUGUUUAAUCUACAUCACAGUAUUGGGAAGUCAUGUAAAAAUGAGAAAAAAAUAUAUGAAAGCACUCUGGAAACUACUUAAUUCUAAUGUACAACAUUAAUAAUAGUAACAAUGGGAGUGGUAAGUAAUGGUAAGCAUAAAUGUUUCACGUGGAUCUAACUCCUAAGUCAUGCAAGGAGCACUCAGUUCUGUUCAGAACAUACUGUGUUCUCUUUCUCUUUCUGUUUCCUUGCUUGGGAAAUCAAGAGUUAUGACUGGGAAUGUAGUUUAAAUGAGCCAGCAAAACACUCAUCAAACGGUUUAUUUUCCUAAUCUUGGUGUAUCAAUUUCAAAACCUGAAAAGUUCAUUUCAUAUUUCACAGGCUCUUUUAUAUAUAGUGUCAUAAAUGCCAAGAAAGUUGUUGACUUAACUUUACAUUUGUGAAAAGUAACCCUUAGUUGGCAAACAAAUACUCCUGAACUGAAGGAGAUAAGCUUCCUGUAUACUUGCAAGUCGCUGCUUUUUGUUUUGUUUCAUUUUCAAAAAACAAAAGACUUUUGGUUGCUUAAAUUCUUAUCACAAAUAGCACAAAUUUCCAGAUUCUCAGCUGUGUUGAGGUCUCUAGCAGAAGUUCAUUGCAUUUUCUGCCAGCAUUCUCCUUUAGAGGUGCUUUUACAACCAAUCUUUAAGCUUGCUAAGGUUCAAAUCACAGCUAACUCUUCCUGUUCAAAGCCACUGAAGAAAGACAUAUUUCAGAGAAUCUAAACGUGGGAAAAUUCUGUGCAUAAUCUCAGAACUUCAACUUUCUAUCCCAUCAAAUUUGACUUAAUAAAACUUCUCUUUCUCUCCUCUUUGUUUAGCAAUAUUAAUGAAAAAUGAAUACAGGGUAAGAAACAGAAGGAAAAGAGGCAAAAAUAGAGUAUGGAGUACUUAAAAUUUGUAACUAGCCUUUGAAGCAUUUUUAUUCAUGUUAUUCGGCAGAUGCCUUCUGAAAAGUUUUCUGUUCAACAGAGUCAUAAAAUGUUAGCCCUAGAAGGUGCCUUGAAGACCACGAUGAGUUAACUUUCUUCCUUUGCCAAGGAAGAAGCGAUUACUUCAGCAACUGUAAAUAUCAAAAACCAAUCCUGGCAUACUUCCUUCAGAGAGUUUUGUUGUAAGCCAUUGUAUGGAAAUAUUGGAGUCUGUUUUAAGGAAAGUUCUCAUCAAGGUAUAACCAGCUCUAUCAUGUUGCAUUGUGCUUGAUGACUUGGGGAAUGAUCAUUAUGACGGUCAGAAUCUGCUGGAGCAAAGAUGUGUCUUCUCUGUGUAACUUCACAUAGUGGAAGGAGUCAGGAACCUCUCUGAGGUCUCUUCUAUAAGAGGACUAAUCCCAUUCAUAAGGAGCGGUAUUUAUACCCCAGCAGGACUUGCUUGAAUACAAGGAACGCCAUCUAAUGAAAAUCCCAUGCCGCAGGCUGAGCUGGAGGGAGCAUCGUGAGUGGCUCAGACCCAGGCCUUCAAGGCAAGGGACAGACACCGUCUUACUUGGUUUGCGGUGGAAUAUCUGGAAAAAGCAUUGGUUACAUUUUUUGUAACCCUUGGCUAAUGAGUCCCAGUCAGUGGAGGCUGAGCUAAACACCACACAGGCAGCAGACCAUCAGCUCGCUUCUCAUGAAUGCAAAGAAGAUGUCAUGGAAUCAGGUCUUAUCUUUUCAUGUAACCUGGCAGCUAAUUUCUCCCUUAAUUAGUUGUAACACCGUUUAUGCAAAACAAAGGAUUUUCUUAUUUCCUUAAACAAAAAUUGUGCUGGAAUUCUAGAAUUUAUUUUCUAAGUAUGUAAUUAAGCACAUUACAAAAAGACAUAAUUGCAGGUCAGAGAUUUUCUAGUGGAGACUGUUACCCAUGUUCUCAGGGUGUUGACAGGAUACGCUUCAUCUCCCUGGUCCUGCCCCCAUGUUAUAAUAGCUAACAGUUUUUUGGUAUUUUUAAGUUUGCAAAGAGUUUGGAUAUGCAGAAUCUCAUGUGGAGCUCCUUAUUAGGAUUAAAGGGGGAAGAAAAGAAUCAGAGAGUAAAAUUUUAGAAUAUUAAUGCUUGGAGGCCUUUGGGGAUCACUUAGUCUAGCAUUUUCCAAAUUGUAACCAGUAGAAUACGAGUUCUAGAAAAUGAUAUUUGAAAAUAGAGUUCCAGCUGGGUGCGGUGGCUCAUGCCUGUAAUCCUAGCACUUUGGGAGGCCGAGGUGGGUGGAUCACAAGGUCAGGAGUUUAAGAUCAGCCUGGUAAACAUGGUGAAACCCUGUCUCUAUUAAAAAUACAAAAAUUAGCUGGGCAUGGUGGCACGUGCCUGUAGUCCCAGCUACUUGGGAGGCUGAGGCAGGAGAAUCACUGGAACCUGGGAGGCUGAGGUUGCAGUGAGCCAAGAUCCCGCCACUGCACUCCAGCCUGGGUGAAAGAGUGAGACUUCAUCUCAAAAAAAAAAAAAAAAAAAAAAGAAAAAAGAAAAUAGGGUUCCAAAAUGAAAUGAGGUUGGGAAACCUGGGACACUGUUUCCCCUCCUGGAGAUUUGCAGUUCAUAUUAACAUAUUAUAGGCUUUGGGGAUUCCCAAAAUAAAAAAAAAAAAGUAUUAAGUUUCUUUUAAUGAAGCAUUUCCUACUUUUAUUUGAUUAUGCAGUAUCUCCCCUCCCCUCAUAUAUAUAUAUAUAUUUAACAUUUAAGGAAACCAAAGCCUUACAGUUACACGGUUAAUUGGUGGCAAAUCCUCGAUUUCACAAUUCUCGGGCUCCAGAUUAUUACAUCACUUGCUAAGGUCUGUGAAGUACUCUGACUGUGACUCACAACCGAGGACUUGUGGAAUAGUGACUGGGCCACGCGACUGCACUCUCUUAAGAUUUUGGUUUGCCAAGUCAUUCUGAAUCUAAUGAUCUUUGGGUGAUUCCCCAGACUGAGGAGGAAGCAACAGCAGCUGUGCAUUGGGCCCACAGAAAGAAUGGUUGAAGACUGCAGUGUAUUUUGAGUUUCUGCUUUGGAGGGGAGGGUUGGUCCUGAUGCCCACAGACGAAUGGCCUCCUGGUUCCAAUCAAGGCCAGCCCAAAAGUCUGCUUCUGGAACCCAAACCUAAGGGACUCAGCUAUGUUUGUGUUGACCUACUAUCAAUAAAGAAGAUCCUUAUUUAAGAACAGGCCACCUUCUGUUUUACACAUAUACUUUCUGACCCUAGAAAUUGUUCAGAAGGUGGAAUGUUUUGCUGUUUCAAUGAGAUCACAUGUGUAAAGGCUCUUUGUACACUGCAGGAGCUAUAGAAAUGUGAGUUAUGAUUGCUCAAAUUUCAUUCCCUUUGCUCUAAUUUUGAGUUAGGGGAGAGAAAGCCGGCCUGUAAAGUACAUAUCACAGUUUCUCUUUCUCAGCUUUCAACUGCAUGGGAGUUUGUAUUUCUGUUUCUACUACUCCAUUUCCUCUGCUGAUACCCUGCCAGGGAGGUGAAUGUAUCAAGUCAGGAAGUAGACUUCUCAGAAUAAAGAAUGCAGAAUUAGAAUGUUUAGUGCACCCAAGGUUAGGUGUAGAGUGUGUCAUAUGAAAGUAAUAGGUAUACUUUUUUCAUAGCAUUUAAUAUGCCUUUAUCCUUAAAUUUUUAAUAGGUUUUGAUAUAUCAAAGUAUAUAAAAGUAUACACUUUAUUAUAAUUGUCAACUGUAUUUUUGUAGUUUUCUUCUCUCACUUUUCAGAGAGGGGAGAAUUUAGCCCUUACUGUGAAAACAAAUACACAAGGAAGAAACAAGCUUAUUACAAACAAGAAUGUUCCUCUAUUACAUGUACUGAUCUAAAAACCUUAGUCUAGUUACUCCUCCUGAAGCUCAUGUUUAAUAUUUGGAAUAGAAAAUACUUUUCUAUUAAAAAAUCCAGAAGAAAUUAAGAUAUUGAUUUUUCCCCAUAAGAUCUCUGUUGUGGUGACUGCAGUGACUGUAAUAUCUUCUGUCGUUGCAUUUGUAAUGGCUUCAUCAAGAAUGAGAUUGCCUCCCAAAGGGUGGGUUAGAAGUUUCCCAUCUGCAGGCAUUGCUUGGCCAGCAUCUAUCCUCUAUUUCCACAACCCACCAUGUUUUUUGGAAUAAUAUGGGUGCUCUUAGUAACUCAUGCAAGGGUGGUCAUUUUGCUUCUGUAUGAUAUUGAUUCUAUAACUUGCAACCAGUGGCAGAGCUCAGUGGAGGACUUUCCACCUUCCACCCACCCUGCUCUUUUCUGGCCACAGCCAAGAGCUCCAGAUUACAGAGAUUCUGACUGGUGAAUUUGGAAGUAAUCACUUCAUUUCCCAGGAGGUCCAAUUCAGGAUAUACCUCUAGUUUAGAGUUGGUUGCGAGAGUUAUGCAAACCAACAAUAAAACUGGGAGACUCCAGACGCCAUUGCCCUCAAGGCCUUGGGCACAGCCCAGGGAGUGCCUGGCUGUGUGGACUUGGAGCCAAGGGCCCUGGGACUGCAUGCGACACCACUACUCAACACACAAGAGAUUCCCAGCUUAGCACAAAAUAGGUUUUUGUUUGAUUCCUUCCCAGUGUUUACCUAAUUUAAACUCUGUACUCUAAUUUGAACAAUUGUUAUGUUUGCUCUCAAUAAAUCAAAAUGAGAUGUUCUGAAUAAUCCAUUUGGUACCAAUGGAAAAAAAAACCCACUGUUGAAAUGUAUGAUUGUUAUUUUGGUGAAAACAUGAAGAAUAAAAUUAUUCUAUUUAUGACAA